AACCAUAGAAACCUGCGGAGUACCUGCGGAGGGAUCAUUACAGAGUUGCAAAACUCCCUAAACCAUUGUGAACGUUACCUAAACCGUUGCUUCGGCGGGCGGCCCGGGUCCUUCCCGGCGCCCAUCGGCCCUCGCGGGCGCCCGCCGGAGGUAAACCAAACUAUUGCAUUGUAUGGCCUCUCUGAGUCUUCUGUACUGAAUAAGUCAAAACUUUCAACACGGAUCUCAGAUCGGAAGAGC
Molecule: unclassified non-coding RNA, 240 nt
Filed under: soil metagenome
Description: partial contains 5.8S ribosomal RNA, internal transcribed spacer 2, and large subunit ribosomal RNA
Source: RNAcentral